Molecule: ribosomal RNA, 500 nt
Filed under: uncultured bacterium
Lineage: Bacteria
Description: partial 16S ribosomal RNA
Rfam family: Bacterial small subunit ribosomal RNA
Source: RNAcentral
AUUGAACGCUGGCGGAAUGCUUUACACAUGCAAGUCGAACGGCAGCACGGACUUCGGUCUGGUGGCGAGUGGCGAACGGGUGAGUAAAGUAUCGGAACGUGCCCAGUCGUGGGGGAUAACGUAGUGAAAAUUACGCUAAUACCGCAUACGAUCUAUGGAUGAAAGCGGGGGAUCGCAAGACCUCGCGCGAUUGGAUCGGCCGAUAUCAGAUUAGGUAGUGGGUGGGGUAAAGGCCCACCAAGCCAACGAUCUGUAGCUGGUCUGAGAGGACGACCAGCCACACUGGAACUGAGACACGGUCCAGACUCCUACGGGAGGCAGCAGUGGGGAAUUUUGGACAAUGGGCGAAAGCCUGAUCCAGCCAUUCCGCGUGCAGGAUGAAGGCCCUCGGGUUGUAAACUGCUUUUGUACAGAACGAAAAGGUUUCUACUAAUACUAGGAGCUCAUGACGGUACUGUAAGAAUAAGCACCGGCUAACUACGUGCCAGCAGCCGCCGUAA